This is a long non-coding RNA of Ornithodoros turicata, 2303 nucleotides long. RefSeq lists it as uncharacterized. The transcript has 4 exons. Lineage: Eukaryota; Metazoa; Arthropoda; Arachnida; Ixodida; Argasidae. The record is from RefSeq and is a predicted model, not a curated record.
GACCAUCAAAGACGAUGUCACGUAAUAGACUUUACCAAAGGUUUUAUUUUGACCACCUCAGCCUUUAGUAGCUCGCACAAUAAUGAUCAUCAUAUACUCUUCAUCGUCUUCCUUCCUCCUCCUUCCCCUUCGUCGUCCUUCUUCACACCGGGCCCCAAUGCUGUCACAGACGUAAAAGGCUCCCCUAACAUAACCUUGGUCAGUCUCAACGGGUGCAUAUUCUACAUAAACUGAUACACUCCCCAACAAUUGAAAUACAAAGCAGGCUCUCCUGACUUAACCUUGGUCAGUCCCGAGGGGUGCAUAUUCUACAUGAACUUACCGGUCCGACACCCAUCAAAUACGUAAAAGGCUCCCCUGUGGGGAGCCUUUUGCAAAAGUGCUGCAAAAGUUUAAAUAUUUUUAUUAGUGCCCAAUGUAUAAAUAAAGCAGCUGGAAAACAAGAAGCAAGUAAAACGGUGACCUCAUGUUCGCCUUGAAAGUUACGAGCGUAAGCGUUUGUCCGGUGAGCUUUUGUCUGUGUCCAGGGAGAUACACCGUAUGAGCGGUGCAGUCCCUCGAGAAAGUUGCCUUAUUUCAGGGAAGGAAUCUGACCAAAACGCAUUGUGUCACCAAAAUAGUUGUUCUUAGGCCAAACUCCAAAGCGCGUUGUCCUCUCCUCUAGCAUUACAUGAUAACUCAUUGCUGUUAUGCUCCUACAUUUGACCCGAACGUGAAAACCGUAAACUCCGAAUUUAAAAUUAUCCCAGCAUUUUGUUCCACGUUGAUAUGUUAUCUCUCGUUGCACCACAAGGGAGAUGGUUAAUUUUUCUCCCUACACCCUUAGAAAAAUGGGUGGAUCAGUUACACCUGUUAAUGGUUGUCACUGUAUGUUGUGACUAAAAGGUUGCGAAGUUCUAUCUGCUACCUCACUCUCAAAACAGAACUUCCACGCGUAACACGUUUUCCCGCUUCUGAUUCGGUCAACCACGGGGGCGUACGCCUUUCUGUAGUGAUUUGGAUAAAUGAUGAUUUCAUUUACCACCACAUUUUACACCCUUUAUUAGACGCCAUGUUGACCACGGUGUCAACUAUAGAAGUUACCCCCUUUUCACACCCUUCUUUCUUUCUUCUCCCUGAUUUGAAUGGGGAAUGCAUCGGAAAGUAAAACAACAGGAAACGAGAAACCGCACUUAUGAGGUUACCGCAUAGCGCAUAGUUGUGCACGGCGUCGCUUCGUAUUUUACACUUUGCCAUCCUUGUUUCUUUCUACUUCUUCUCCUUGGAAUACGUAGUAAGCAACACGCGUCUUUUUUUUCUGUCUGAUAUAACAUGCUGUGUUUCAUCCUUUCUUUUUUCUUUUUUUGGUUCUAAUAAAUACAUCCCCUUGUACGUGCGUAUUCAGCGAAUCAAUGCACCACGCAACAAUUUCCACGCGCUGUAUAAUCUGAAUCCCUCUCGUCUCGUUCAUGGCCAUAACCUUGUCAUCUUGUUUACGGUUGAUGUCGAAUUUUGUUUUAUUUUUGAUAUCCCACGUGCACACGUGGCUGUGAACGCGUGCUUGCAAAGGAAAUGCAAUGUACAAGGUACAGGUAGGUUAGUUGUAGUUGUACGAGGUAGGUUAGUUUUUGUAUUUUACGUGCACAUGUGGUUGUGAACGCGUGCUUGCAAAGGAAAUGCCAUGUACAAGGCACAGGUAGGUUAGUUGUAGUUGUACAAGGUAGGUUAGUUUUUGUAUUUUACGUGCACAUGUGGUUGUGAACGCGUGCUUGCAAAGGAAAUGCCAUGUACAAGGUACUUACUGGAAAGUCAAUUCUCGUCGGGGACUUUUCAGAAAUCUCAUUGAUACAGAUAUUUAUGAAGGAAUCACGUACACCUGUAUGGAGUGUCCUAUAAAAGCCAGGCAGUUCCGAUAGUGUACAUACAUCUGAAAUAUCCUCUCUAUACAGGAAAGUUUCAACGAUCUCUUCGUGGACACAAUGACGCCUCUACGUUUCGCUGUUGUCUUCGUCCUCCUCUUUGGUGUAUUUGUCGCCAGUGAAGCUGCACCUGAAGGACACGAGCUUGAACGUCGUGACGAUGACUUCGGUGUCUGCACUUGUGUUCAGGGUAUUACAUGCCCUCAUAACAUCCCUUGCACAAAGUUUAGCGAGUGUAAGAAAUGCUUCGUUCUCGGUGGACUAAAACAUGACUGACCGGCAACCCUUAACAACGAAACGAUCAACUGCACGUAUAUGAAAUAAGAGUCCCUGGCAUUCUCUUUCACCAACAUGAUCAUGGGUGGCGGGAACUUUUGAGGGCAAUAAAUUGUACUAAGCAGCAGA